RNAcentral lists this long non-coding RNA (1548 nucleotides) under Cucumis sativus (cucumber). RNAcentral describes it as "long non-coding RNA (CSAT_LNC000071)". Lineage: Eukaryota; Viridiplantae; Streptophyta; Magnoliopsida; Cucurbitales; Cucurbitaceae. The record is from RNAcentral.
AUCAAGAUCGCCUUCUGCCAUACUCCGCCGUCUCCCCACUCCUCCUCCUCCGCAUCGCCGGCGCCGCGCUUAUUCUUCUUCUUAUGAAUUAACGUGUUGCUUAUGUUCUUCAGAAACCGCUUCGGGCGAAGCUGGGGUGACCUUAACUCUAAUCGCGGCAACUGCUUCGAUUUCAGUUUUAUUUGAAGCUUUUUUGAUACUCUGUUCGCUUGUUUCGCACAGAGCGCCAUCAGAGUCGAUAAAGAGACGAUCAAAGUCGCUGCUGCUCGCCUUGGCGUUGCUAGGACAGAGCCACCGCCGGAGAUGGAGGUGGAGCCGCCGCGUUCCGGAGUGGAUUGACUCAUGCUUGAGGAAAAUUGGAAAUGGGAAAAGGUUAAUUAAAAACUUUCGAUUUAGGGAUAUUAUUAUUAUUUGAGAAGAAGUGAAGUUUUUGAAUUUGAGAACUUUGGUUUGUAUUUAUAGUGGUCUUAGUCAUCGUUAAUUAGAACAUCUAGAAAGAAACGACACCGUAUGACCUCGUCAGUUUAAUUUUUAUAAUUAACAAAAAGUGGAUUAUUUUUUCAUUUUUCGAUUUUCUUUUUCUAUAUUUCAACGGACUAGAUUUGAAGAUAUGACAAUAAGAUAUUGUGAAAAAUAAAUAAAUUGUUGAAGUAAACCACAUUUGAUUUUUGGCGAUAAAAAAACAAAAAAGAUGGAAUCUUCAUUGAAUUAAAAUAUAUAUAUGUACAAAUAAAAUACAUAAUUAUAAAGAGUUGAAGACUUAAAAGUAUUUAUAUAAUUCAAUCAAAUAUUUGAUAUCUUGAAUCUUUCAAAGUAGUUUUAGAGUCUAGUGGUCACCUCACCUAGAAGCCCAAGAGCUUAAACCUUAAGCCUUUGAAACAUUUUUCUAAACUAUAUCGUUAAUUAAGAUUUGAAAAUUAUCUUCCAAGUUGAAAAACAUUCCCUUCUAAAUAAAUAGCCAUAAUUUUAAUUUAAAGUUGUCUUGUAAAGAGAAAUAAAAACACGUGUAUAUAUUAAGAGGAGAUAGUGGAGCAAUGAUUUAAGAUUAAUAAAGCAAGUGAAUUCAUAUUUAGAGGUUAAUUAUUGUUUAAUUAAAGGAUUUGUGUUGAUGUGAAAAUCGUGGUGGAUUUUUAGGUUUUCCACUAAAUACAGCGGAUAAAAAUGGAAAAGAGCACUAGAGAGAGAGAUUAGUGGGAUUCAUCUCGUUUGCCACGUGUCAGAGAGGGAGAAGAGAGAUUGCAAUUGCCACGUAGAUGUGUGCAAACAAAAGCAAUUUAAAUGAAGUGGGAGAAAGUGGGUGGGGAGGUGGAGUCGUACGUUGACUCAGCGUGCAACUUGGCACUUUUGGUGUUUCGUAUUGCUUUCGACCCCACCACUUUGGGUAUUUCAAAAUGCUGCCACAUUUAAAGUUUAAUUUUAAUAUAAGGUCGAGAUUAGAGAAUAUUGUCACACCAUAAAAAAAAAUGCCUUUUUCUUUUUUACGAGGAAUAAAAAAGGUUUUGUUUAAUGCUACUUUUAUCAAAGAUCAGAAUUUUAGCUUUAAAUUCU